AACGAACGCUGGCGGCGUGCCUAACACAUGCAAGUCGUACGUGAAAGACUUUCGGGAUGAGUAAAGUGGCGCACGGGUGAGUAACACGUAGGUGACCUGCCUUUUAGAGGGGAAUAACCAGAAGAAAUUUUGGCUAAUGCCGCAUACGAAGCACAGUUUUAAGACUGUGUUUGAAAGAAUGCCUCUGCAUAUGCAUUCACUAAAAGAUGGGCCUGCGGAACAUUAGCUAGUUGGUGGGGUAAAGGCCUACCAAGGCAACGAUGUUUAUCCGGUCUGAGAGGAUGAUCGGACACACUGGAACUGAGACACGGUCCAGACUCCUACGGGAGGCAGCAGUGGGGAAUAUUGCGCAAUGGGGGAAACCCUGACGCAGCAACGCCGCGUGAGUGAGGAGGGACUUCGGUCUGUAAAGCUCUGUUAAUGUGGAAAAAUGGUAGUUGGUCUAAUAGGCCGAUUAUUUGAUGGUACACAUAGAGGAAGCACCGGCUAACUUCGUGCCAGCAGCCGCAGUAA
Molecule: ribosomal RNA, 513 nt
Filed under: uncultured bacterium
Lineage: Bacteria
Description: partial 16S ribosomal RNA
Rfam family: Bacterial small subunit ribosomal RNA
Source: RNAcentral